AGAGUUUGUUCCUGGCUCAGGAUGAACGCUAGCUACAGGCUUAACACAUGCAAGUCGAGGGGCAGCAUGAAGGAAGCUUGCUUCCUUUGAUGGCGACCGGCGCACGGGUGAGUAACACGUAUCCAACCUGCCCCUGGGUAGGGAAUAGCCCGGUGAAAACCGGAUUAAUGCCCUAUGCUGUCCAGAGAGGACAUCUGACCUGGACGAAAGAUUCAUCGCUAUGGGAUGGGGAUGCGUCUGAUUAGGUUGCAGGCGGGGUAACGGCCCACCUGGCCGACGAUCAGUAGGGGUUCUGAGAGGAAGGUCCCCCACAUUGGAACUGAGACACGGUCCAAACUCC
RNAcentral lists this ribosomal RNA (340 nucleotides) under uncultured Bacteroidales bacterium. RNAcentral describes it as "bacterial SSU rRNA". It matches the Rfam family "Bacterial small subunit ribosomal RNA", at positions 8 to 339 of the family's 1533-position model. Lineage: Bacteria; Pseudomonadati; Bacteroidota; Bacteroidia; Bacteroidales. The record is from RNAcentral.